GAUGAACGCUGGCGGCGUGCCUAAUACAUGCAAGUCGAGCGAACGGACGAGAAGCUUGCUUUUCUGAUGUUAGCGGCGGACGGGUGAGUAACACGUGGAUAACCUACCUAUAAGACUGGGAUAACUUCGGGAAACCGGAGCUAAUACCGGAUAAUAUUUUGAACCGCAUGGUUCAAAAGUGAAAGACGGUCUUGCUGUCACUUAUAGAUGGAUCCGCGCUGCAUUAGCUAGUUGGUAAGGUAACGGCUUACCAAGGCAACGAUGCAUAGCCGACCUGAGAGGGUGAUCGGCCACACGGAAACUGAGACACGGUCCAGACUCUUACGGGAGGCAGCAGUAGGAAAUCUUCCGAAAGGGGCGAAAGCCUGACGGAGCAACGCCGCGUGGGUGAUGAAGGUCUUCGGACCGUAAAACGCUGUAUUAGGGAAGAACAUAUGUGUAAGUAACUGUGCACAUCUUGACGGUACCUAAUCAGAAAGCCACGGCUAACUACGUG
Molecule: ribosomal RNA, 496 nt
Filed under: uncultured bacterium
Lineage: Bacteria
Description: partial 16S ribosomal RNA
Rfam family: Bacterial small subunit ribosomal RNA
Source: RNAcentral